UAAGGAAUAUUGGUCAAUGGACGCAAGUCUGAACCAGCCAUGCCGCGUGGAGGAUGAAGGUCCUCUGGAUUGUGAACUUCUUUUAUCUGGGACGAAACACUUCUUUUCUAAGAGGCCUGACGGUACCAGAUGAAUAAGCACCGGCUAACUCCGUGCCAGCAGCCGCGGUAAUACGGAGGGUGCAAGCGUUAUCCGGAUUCACUGGGUUUAAAGGGUGCGUAGGUGGGUAUGUAAGUCAGUGGUGAAAUCCCCGAGCUUAACUUGGGAACUGCCAUUGAUACUAUAUAUCUUGAAUACCGUAGAGNUAAGCGGAAUAUGUCAUGUAGCGGUGAAAUGCUUAGAUAUGACAUGGAACACCAAUUGCGAAGGCAGCUUACUAUGCGGUGAUUGACACUGAGGCACGAAAGCGUGGGUAGCAAACA
Molecule: ribosomal RNA, 422 nt
Filed under: uncultured bacterium
Lineage: Bacteria
Description: bacterial SSU rRNA
Rfam family: Bacterial small subunit ribosomal RNA
Source: RNAcentral